CCCCACCAUCUUCAUCUAUGAAAUCAGGCAGCCGAGAAUCAGGCAGACCCCCCCCACCCCCGCCCCCCAGCAGAAUUGCCCCAGGGCUCUGCGAGCUCUUCCAGAAGCUUCUUUUCCACACUUGGGCUGAGUGUGUCCUACAGGAGGCUCUUGCUGAAGAUGGACUAAACCACACGUGUUUCUGCCAUGAACUAGCGGUGUGACCUUCGGGGAGGACCUUCGCCUCUCUGCGCUCCAGUUUCCAGUCUGUGAAAUGAGGGAUAGCGACCGGGCCAGGACCUCCCACUUGGCCUCAUCCUGGGGUCUUAUUUUCUAUGGAAAGGGCUUCAGGUGGCCAUCUGUUUGAGGCAGGCGGCUGGGUGCUCGGUCCCCUCUCCUGGGUGCUCGGCCGCCCUCCUCGGGGAGGCUCUGAGGACCUUCUCACCUAACAAACACGCCACGAAAAAGCUCCCAGGACGGGGUUUCAAGGUCACGGUUCUGUGUUCUCUGAUUUGCCAGAACCACCAUCCACCUGUCUGUCUAAUCUGUCACCUUCUCCUGUCUGUCUCCCUUUCUGUCCCUCCUGUCACCCACCUGCCCACCCUCUGUCUCCUUUGGCUCUCAGCUCCCUCUGCCUCUAUCCGUCUCUCACAUUUAUCGCCGUUUGCUCCCACCUGUAACCCGAGAAGCCCCCGGAGUCUCUGAUCCCGAGGCUGGGACGGGGUCUGCGGUCUGCGUGCCGCUUUUCUACAAGCCCAGGCGAUGCUGCUGCGGCUGGUCCUGCAUCUUUUGCCCUUGCCAGCCCAGGGAGUGUCUUCGUGCUUGAGUUCAGAAGCUCCCGAAGGCGCUAAAAGUUUUGAAGAAUAAAGGCAUUGCAGACGGUCCCUGACUUGUACUGGUUCGCCUUGGGGUUUUUUUUUUUUUUGACUUUGGAUGGUGUGAAACUGAAACGGCUUCGGUAGAAUCGGUACUUAGAAUUUUGGUCUUUCCUGGGUUGGUGAUGUAUCAUGUGGUCCCUCUCGUGGCGCUGGGCAGCGGCCAUCGGCCAGGGCUCCCCGCCGGCCCCUCGGUCGCGGGAAGCCACCGACACCCUUAAACCCUUCUGGACCGUCCAGCCAGCUGCAGGCUAAUAGGAGGGUUCUGAGCACGGUCGGGGUGGGCCAGGCUAAGCUGCGAUGUUCUGUGUGUUAAACGCAGGUCUGACGCAUGCCAUUUCCAGCGAGCCGUGAGUUUAUCAGGACGUAACUUCCUUGUCAGCCAAGGAAGCGCUGUACCAUUUCAUGCACGCACCAAGAGUAACCAACAACCGGCUAGGUCCUUGUGUCCAACCUUGAAGUGACUGCAAUUUGGGGCCCCGAGGGCAUUUGUAUCACAGCUACUUGCAUUUGUGAAAUUGAUGAUGGCGCCGCCCCCACCCCGUGGUUGAGGCAUAAAACUCUGUUGAGUUGUAGUCACAUCCAGCGUUCACGUACCCAGGGCCCAGCUGCGUGUAGAAUCCUCACACAUCCCUCCCACACAGGACAUGCGGUGUUGUUUGUGGUGCUGAGAACCUGGGGUCCAUCGCCGGGACAGUGGACAGUACAGGAGGAGGGGGUGGCACCAGUUAGGGCCAAUGGACCGAGUCCACCCAACACCUCGGCGGGGUCUUCAUGCUGCUCCAAGGGAGAGAGAGGAGAGUGAUGCCUUUAACGCAGACCACUUAUGCAGGUUCUUGAGCCAUAAAACCUGCACAAGGGCACCCGUGAACACAGGGACCCUGGAACCCGUGUGGGAAGCGGGGACCUUGGUGGGAGCCCUGACAGAGGGGAUUAGAGCAAUAAAAGAGGCGAGGGGCCAGGGAGGGAGAUGAUGCCAGGUGGCGGAUGGCGGCUGCGCCAGAGUGAACCAAGGGAUCGGUAAUCAGCAGAUAAAAGGUGAAAAAAUUGAAAGUCAAAGGUUGGUCCCGGACACCCACAAGCGAGCAAGGAGACUCCUCUGUCCAGCGGCCUCUGCACCCUCUGUCACUGCCUGGGGGGCUCUCCUCAUCCACAUGGUACCUGCUUGCGGGGAAGCCCGGGCUCGGUCGAGAGACAGAGAAAGGGCUCCUGGGUUGUCCUGUUCCUCUGUCCCCCGCACCCUCCCAAGGGGCAGCGGUGGGGGGACUCCUUUCCAUCGUGGAUCUUAGCGCUAGGGCCCUCUGUGGGGCAGCUCACGAUUCAAAGGCACACAAGCCGUCCCUGGACCCAGUUACAUCAGAAUCAACCAAAGCUCUUGAUUUUCAAAAACCUUCAUUCCCUGUGCUGACUGCAUACCAGGCUCUCCAGAACUGGGAUUAAGGAAUGUGAAGAUUCUUUAAUUUUUUUUAUUUUUUUAUUUUAUUUUUUUUUACAUUUUACAUAAGUUUUCCAGGUGUUUGGAAUGAAACCCAACUUGGAACAGGGAAUGUAGCGGGAACCUGGGCCUCCAGGUGCCCAGACAGGACUCCCCUGCGCCCCCUGGUGGCGCGGACGACGCGCAGGCGGCCGUCCUGGGUGGGGAGCCCAGGGGCAGGUGUCUGGAGGAUGGAGGUGGAGCCCUGCCUGCCUCAGGAUGCUCGCAUCCCUUGCCCUCCAGCCCGUCCUGCGGUUUAUCCCCAAGGCCUUGUCUGGUGUGAUCUCAUUUGUAUUUUCACGCGUGCCUUUCCUGAGUCCAGAAGGUGGCUGUGGUGCUGGAAUUCUAGCGGCUGUGGCUGGAUGUCAGGGAGAUGGUUUUCCGGAGAGCUGUUCCUUCCUUCCUCUCACAUCUGUCCCCAUCUGCCCUCGGGCCCAGUCCCUUGACCUUCCGUCACUGCUCAGAGGCCUCCCUGGGGAUAUCGAAGGGACGGGAUGUUGCUUUGACCCCCAUUUUAGUGAACGUGAAAGGUGCUAGCACCGGGCAGCAGAGAAUGAGGGACACAUGUCUCUGGGUUUCCUCUUGAAGGGGACUUGCUCCCACUUUGCUAUAUCCAGCAACCGCAGAGAGCCAGCAUGAGCCAGGGCUGUGUGGGGCUGGGCUUCGUGGGUGUGUGGACACACAAGGCCUUGCCCUCCCGGGACUUAGAAUCUAUCCAGUGACCACACACAUACACAACUAAGUGUAGACGCAGUGAUGCUGGUCACUCUGAAUCCACAGGGACGGCUGGGAGAAGAGAGCUCGGCGGCAGGGUGGGCACGUGCAAAGGCCCUGAGGCAGGAAAGGACCUCUCCUGCGGACCGUGGCUGGAGAGGGAGGCAGAGCCGGACCAGCACGGCUUAGAGCCCUCGGGAAGGGCUGGGGUCGUGUUCUCUGAGUCCUGGGCAUCAUGGCGGGGUGUCAGCGGGGACUGACAUAGUCCAGUCUGUGUUUUUCCCCCUCGUGCAGUAAAUGCGGAUGGUUAAGAAACGUUAACUAAUCCCGGUUUGCAUAGAGUCAGGGGGAGGCAGGCUGUCCGGGGGGGGCCAGGUGACAGGAAGAGACAGCCUGACCAUCGGGGAGGCGAGGGGGGAUGGAGGAUGGGCCAGCAAACUUC
This 3484-nucleotide long non-coding RNA is filed under the name Sus scrofa (pig). RNAcentral describes it as "lncRNA (ENSSSCG00025029032.1)". The record is from RNAcentral. Lineage: Eukaryota; Metazoa; Chordata; Mammalia; Artiodactyla; Suidae.